GCCCACAGCUGUUUUGGUAACAGACAGAUGCUGCCUCAAGAAGAGAACAAUUCCAUAACCCUAACCUUAGACGUUUUCCUGAACAAUUGAAGGAAAGGAGGGGGGAAAAGCAAACCAAAGGCCCCACAUCUAAUUGAUUUCCUGAUGCAGACUCCUGUUUUAUCACUUGCUAUUUAUUGAGUACCUGCACUGGAGAGCUGCAGGGUUUCUGCUCCCCUGGGACUUCUCCUCCUCCCCCUUCCAGACCUCAGCGAGGAUGAUGGACUCAUUCGCUUCCAUUCACCCUGUCAACAGCCCCCGGCCUUGAUGGAGAUGGAUUACGAGCAGUGCAGGCAAUCAGGGGCCAAAAACAGAAACAUCAAACUACCAUGAGAGAAACUUUGCAAGAAAUCUUGCAGGAGGAAGCCUGUUCUUUUGAGACUUAUUUCUGGGAGAUAUCCCCUCAUGAUUCCAAACAAGGACUUUGUAACAACCAAAGAAACACCUGUACCCCUCCCCUCAGCAAAUGCACCAGAGAAUCCAUCCUGGGUUUUACACUGAACUUGGUGGAUGCUGCGACAGGACUUUGGGAGGUUAGCUUGUGUUGGGUAGAUACUCAUGAAACACAGUUCAAAAACUCAGUUAUGUAGUGUGAUGGAGUCUCAGCAUCUUGAGUUUCGGAGCCCCCACUGGGUUCAGUGGGAGUUAUAUCACAGAUUAAUUUGGCCCAGUGGCCCCAGUUCAGGGAUGAAAUGACACCAGUUUAAACCCACUAUGUGUGCAUGUCUGGGGGGGCUAUUGAAAGGGAAGUGUAAAGCUAAGGGUAAUAGUAUCUCAAAAUGAAGCUGAGAGGUGCAGAAUGGUGGCCUAAUAAAUGUCAGUUUGAGUUGUUCAGGAGGAGGAGUACAGAAAAUAUCUGAAAAGCAACAGUGGAGCUUACUUCCUAGACUCCUGAAAUAGCAGAAUGGGGUCAACAGCUGAGAUCCCAGCUCUCGGGACAGUUGGGGUCAAGUAGAGAGGCUGGGGGUUCUGGGAGCAGGGAGAGAAACCCGGCUGAUGGGCUAGUUUUGGAAGGAUUCUAAGUGGGGCUGGUUGAAAUUUUUCCAAACUCUUUUUUUCUAAUAGAAAACAGGGGUUUUGACAAAAUGACUUUUCCAGAAAAUUUUGAAUUUUUUUUUAAAAACCAAAAACCUAAAUACUUUGACUUUUGAGUUUCCAAUUUAAGCAAAAUCAAAUUUUCCUCACCCCCCACAUUCCCAACCAGCUGUAAUUGUAACACUUGUCAGGGGGAAACUAGGUGUUUCAUGUUCUCCUGAUAUAACAGAUAUCACAGAGAAGUCCUCAUCUGCUUCCCAUUACCACCCAGAGACCUCAUCGAAUGCCUCUGCUCUACAUAGACAGGAAAUCAAUGGUCAGAGCUGACCAAGGGGUGGAAAAAAAUGGUCUAUGAGUAAAUUAAAUUAGAGACUUUCUACAUGACUAAAUGACUAUUGUAGUAGGUAAUAUCUCUUCAAAGCUCCCCUGGGAAGAGAGUGGGCACUGCUGUUGUCUCCCCAGAUCUUGGUGGGGUUGCUCCAGGGUCCUCCACAGCAGGGACAAAGUAGUCUAAAUGAUGCUGCCACAGCCCACAAAAGGUGGAGUCCAGAGACUUCAGAAGAGAGAGAGAGAGAGAGAGAGAGAAGGAAAAAAAGCCAUUCACUCUCCUUUCUGAGAGGCUCUGGGCAGGCAAGGAUCAUGAGCAGUUUCUCCAAGACAGCAACCCUUGCUUCCAGGAGCUGAGGAGCUCUGGGUGAUAGCCCUACCUCCCAGAAUACCACCCCAAACUGAGCUAGCAUCAGCCUUUGUAAGGGCCUGCAUCUCUCCAGACUUGACAAGCAUCACAGAUGCUCCCAUUUGGCUGACUGUGCCCACAGGAGCUCUUUAAUGCCUUCUCGACUGGCAUUAAAUGUUUGUUUCCUGCCAGCAUCUGAACCUUCCAAGCCUACUUGGGCCAAUAAUGGUGAAAAGUGAAUUUUGGUUGUGAGUAGUCACGGGGGAUGAAAUUCACACUUAUGCACGGUUUAAGUCUCAUGAAGGCCACAGAGGAUUGUGCUGGCAGGGGCAUAUUUUCCCUGGAUGCGCUGGUGGUUAAUCACCUAAGUUAUCCAAUCAUGGAAGAGAAACAUUAGCCUGCACCUUUUAGUGCUAACUAGCACAGCACGUGUUGAGGAUAUGUACCCAAACUGUUCUGAAAUGAUCUGUGCCCCAAGAAUUAUUCACCAAUCCUUUGCCAUCACAAGCCCUUUGGAGAAUUUCACCAGCUGUUCACACUCCAGAACAGAAAAGGGGGGAGGGGAAGGGAACCCAAGCCAUGUUCAUUAAAUAUUAGCGGCCAGUUAUGUCGUCAUCUCAGAAUCUCAGAUACCACUGUGUGGUGGCAGUUAGGACAUGCUAACUUUACUACAGUGACCACGGUACCAGGACAUCACAUCAGCAAAACAUUUUGGGGGGCAGCUGUGUUACUUCCCCACUUCUUCAUCCCUUCUGAGGCUGCAGCCACUCGUGGGGGAGGUGUUAGUGUUCUGAGCCCAUCCCAGAGUGGGGUGGUGAGGUGGGAGGCCAGUCGGAUUCUGGGGAGUGAGGAGGAUGGGGGGCUGGGAGAGAGGUGUCUCACCGACGGCCAGCCCUGCGUGGGAUUGGGGCCUGGCUUUUUCCACAUUCAGCUCUGACCCAGGCUCCUGCUGCCUGGUCGGUGGGAAGGGGAUGUGUGCCAGAAUCUGCUCAAGAUAAUCUGCUGCCCCUCCGCCUCCAUAGACCUAGGGUGGUAGAUUUAGCCUGGUUGCCUCUCCAUCAUGAUGGACGGGUGGCCAGGCCACAUUUGGGUGAGUGGCAUUGUGAUCUGGCACAUGGGGUUGCAACAUCAACUCAAAUUUGGCCUGGCCGCUUCUCCCUCCUGACAGAAGGGCAACUGGGCCAAAUCUGCUGCUCUAGGCAGCUGCCCAGAAAUUUGCCACCUAUAGUCAGGGGAGGAAAGGAGCGGAAGUAGGGCUCUGCCCCAUAGCAAAUGGUGCCCCUGCCCUGUACUCUCCAAUAUCCAAAGCACUCUAGAUUUCUGCAUUACUGUUUCACGUACUUAUUGCAUGGGAAGAUUGGCAUUACCAGACUGGAUCAGACAAAUCGUCCAUCUAGUCCAGGAGGCAGUACCAGCGGCUUAAGAGGAAGAUGCAAGAAACCUAGCAGUAGGCAGUUAGGGGAUACCUGCCCCCAGAGAAAGUUUGUGCUUCACGUCCAUGCGUGAUGCUGCCCAAAAUGAAAAUUUUAUCCACUGAAAAAGGGAUUUAAAAAAAAAUU
Long non-coding RNA from Mauremys mutica (yellowpond turtle), 3309 nucleotides. RefSeq lists it as uncharacterized. The transcript is spliced from 3 exons. The record is from RefSeq and is a predicted model, not a curated record. NCBI's taxonomy places the organism in Eukaryota, Metazoa, Chordata, Testudines, Geoemydidae.